Molecule: long non-coding RNA, 719 nt
Filed under: Mus pahari (shrew mouse)
Lineage: Eukaryota; Metazoa; Chordata; Mammalia; Rodentia; Muridae
Description: lncRNA (MGP_PahariEiJ_G0002963.1)
Source: RNAcentral
CCGUGGUUGUGUCCCCGUCAGCGUUCAGCCCCAGUACCGCGCAGAGCGCACGGAAGUCGGCGCGCGGUAGGCGGCCUGCGCCCCGGCAGUCCAAGUGGUGGAAAACCUCCUGCAGAUACUGGUCCAGACCGGUAGCCAGCACCACGAUCUCAUUCUCCACGCCGCGGUCCAGCCCAUAGUGGCCUUUCCGCUAUUGUCACCAGAGGCUGGAGCGCCUGCGCCUGCAGUUGUAUUCUGCAGUUCCCAGCCCUCGCCGGCAACCUGCCUAGUGUUCUCUGCCCCAGUUGAAAGGCCUCUUCUCCAGAAUGCUUCCUAAACUCUCCCUCCCCUACGUACGUAACUAGAACCAAGGAGGAGACAAACUUGGAAGUGGAUGAAGUUUUGGUGAGAGAAAAGUGGUUGUCUACCUCGGCCACCUUUGGGCUCCAGGUGGUGACUUGGCCUGAGUCCCUUCCGCUGGCUUGGAUGAGAGACGUGGUAGACUCCAUCUGUUGCCUGCCUUGGGAACCUUACCCAGCCACAUUGGAGCAAAGAGCAAACUCAGCGGCCCUUGACUAUUAGAUAAGCAGAUCUUGUUUUGUGUACAAAUCCCAGUUGCAAAGCAUUAUUUUGUUUCCUCCAUUAUAGCACCCCGGGCCAGCAUUUUGUCCUUUGUCCCACACAUUCCGGGAAGGAAUCGGACAACCCAAGCAUUUUGGAUAUACAUAUAUAUUAAUUAU